This 400-nucleotide long non-coding RNA is filed under the name Mytilus galloprovincialis (Mediterranean mussel). Lineage: Eukaryota; Metazoa; Mollusca; Bivalvia; Mytilida; Mytilidae. The record is from RNAcentral.
GGAUGUAUAUAUGCGUAAUCCUGGGGUGUGUGUCAUGGGGAUCCCGAGGGUGAGGGGAAUGGGGGGUGACCAACUGUAGUUCAGUCUCCAUAGGGCAUGGGUGGGGGCGGGUUUACUGUGUUUCUGAUCCUGUUUUUGGUAUAUUCCCUACUGAUUUCCCUAGCAUGAUCUUUUGUUUUUACCCGGGGGUUACUCCUUUUGUACAAAGUUGGGGGGAGUGUAGUACCUCAGGGUCAUUGGUGGUGCUCCACAUUGGAGGCAGAUCCGGAAGACGAGAGAGCCUCGUUUCGGAUCUGCCGGCAGUCGAAAACUAGAACCAGAACCUGAAGCAUCACGCUGAUUUCUAGCCGAUUCCAAAUAGUACCAAAGCAGUAUAUACUUGCAAGAUCGCCACGGUAAG